Molecule: ribosomal RNA, 778 nt
Filed under: Anaerostipes hadrus
Lineage: Bacteria; Bacillati; Bacillota; Clostridia; Lachnospirales; Lachnospiraceae
Description: partial 23S ribosomal RNA
Rfam family: Bacterial large subunit ribosomal RNA
Source: RNAcentral
GGAAGAGAAAGAAAAUUUAUCGAUUUCCAAAGUAGCGGCGAGCGAAAUGGAAAGAGCCCAAACCGUGAUGCGUGCAUCGCGGGGUUCGGACUGCGUUGUGGCAGACGUAAGAUAGGAGAACGGACUGGGAAGUCCGGCCGGAGAGAGUGAAAGCCUCGUAUCCGAAAUCCCAAGUCGCCUGGCAGGAUCCAGAGUAGGACGAGACACGAGAAACCUUGUCUGAACGAGCGGGGACCACCCCGUAAGGCUAAAUACUUCUUAGUGACCGAUAGCGCAUAGUACUGUGAAGGAAAGGUGAAAAGUACCCCGGGAGGGGAGUGAAAGAGAACCUGAAACCCUGUGUCUACAAGCUGUGGGACCUCUUUAUAUGAGGGACUGCGUACUUUUUGUAGAACGGUCCGGCGAGUUGUGCGUACUGGCGAGGUUAAGGACUUAAGGUCUGGAGCCGAAGUGAAAGCAAGCGUUAAUAGCGCGUCAAGUCAGUGAGUGCAGACCCGAAACCGGGUGACCUAUCCAUGUCCAGGUUGAAGCUUCCGUAAGAGGAAGUGGAGGACCGAACCCACAUCCGUUGAAAAGGGUGGGGAUGAGGUGUGGAUAGCGGAGAAAUUCCAAUCGAACCCGGAGAUAGCUGGUUCUCCUCGAAAUAGCUUUAGGGCUAGCCUCAUGAGAGUCUUAUGGAGGUAGAGCACUGAAUUGCCUAGGGGGCGUCAAAGCUUACCAAAGCAUAUCAAACUCCGAAUGCCAUCAAGAUGAUUCAUGGGAGUCAGACCAUACGAGA